This 687-nucleotide ribosomal RNA is filed under the name Aneurinibacillus sp. DB4. RNAcentral's name for it is "bacterial SSU rRNA". It matches the Rfam family "Bacterial small subunit ribosomal RNA", at positions 9 to 698 of the family's 1533-position model. Lineage: Bacteria; Bacillati; Bacillota; Bacilli; Caryophanales; Paenibacillaceae. The record is from RNAcentral.
GAGUUUGAUCCUGGCUCACAAUGAACGCUGGCGGCGUGCCUAAUACAUGCAAGUCGAGCGGACCAACGGAGAGCUUGCUCUCCUGCGGUCAGCGGCGGACGGGUGAGUAACACGUAGGCAACCUGCCUGUACGACCGGGAUAACUCCGGGAAACCGGAGCUAAUACCGGAUAGGAUUUCAGACCGCAUGGUUUCUGGAAUGGAAAGACCCUGUGUCACGUACAGAUGGGCCUGUGGCGCAUUAGCUAGUUGGUGGGGUAACGGCCUACCAAGGCGACGAUGCGUAGCCGACCUGAGAGGGUGAACGGCCACACUGGACUGAGACACGCAGACUCUACGAGGCAGCAGUAGGAUCUUCCGCAUGACGAAGUCUGACCGACAACGCCGCGUGAACGAAGAAGGUUUUCGGAUCGUAAAGUUCUGUUGUUAGGGAAGAACCGCCGGGAUAACCUCCCGGUCUGACGGUACCUAACGAGAAAGCCCCGGCUAACUACGUGCCAGCAGCCGCGGUAAUACGUAGGGGGCAAGCGUUGUCCGGAAUUAUUGGGCGUAAAGCGCGCGCAGGCGGCUUCUUAAGUCAGGUGUGAAAGCCCACGGCUCAACCGUGGUGGGCCACUUGAAACUGGGAGGCUUGAGUGCAGGAGAGGAGAGCGGAAUUCCACGUGUAGCGGUGAAAUGCGUAGAGAUC